Molecule: ribosomal RNA, 790 nt
Filed under: Leuconostoc mesenteroides
Lineage: Bacteria; Bacillati; Bacillota; Bacilli; Lactobacillales; Lactobacillaceae
Description: bacterial SSU rRNA
Rfam family: Bacterial small subunit ribosomal RNA
Source: RNAcentral
AUAAUGCAGUCGAACGCACAGCGAAAGGUGCUUGCACCUUUCAAGUGAGUGGCGAACGGGUGAGUAACACGUGGACAACCUGCCUCAAGGCUGGGGAUAACAUUUGGAAACAGAUGCUAAUACCGAAUAAAACUUAGUGUCGCAUGACACAAAGUUAAAAGGCGCUUCGGCGUCACCUAGAGAUGGAUCCGCGGUGCAUUAGUUAGUUGGUGGGGUAAAGGCCUACCAAGACAAUGAUGCAUAGCCGAGUUGAGAGACUGAUCGGCCACAUUGGGACUGAGACACGGCCCAAACUCCUACGGGAGGCUGCAGUAGGGAAUCUUCCACAAUGGGCGAAAGCCUGAUGGAGCAACGCCGCGUGUGUGAUGAAGGCUUUCGGGUCGUAAAGCACUGUUGUAUGGGAAGAACAGCUAGAAUAGGAAAUGAUUUUAGUUUGACGGUACCAUACCAGAAAGGGACGGCUAAAUACGUGCCAGCAGCCGCGGUAAUACGUAUGUCCCGAGCGUUAUCCGGAUUUAUUGGGCGUAAAGCGAGCGCAGACGGUUUAUUAAGUCUGAUGUGAAAGCCCGGAGCUCAACUCCGGAAUGGCAUUGGAAACUGGUUAACUUGAGUGCAGUAGAGGUAAGUGGAACUCCAUGUGUAGCGGUGGAAUGCGUAGAUAUAUGGAAGAACACCAGUGGCGAAGGCGGCUUACUGGACUGCAACUGACGUUGAGGCUCGAAAGUGUGGGUAGCAAACAGGAUUAGAUACCCUGGUAGUCCACACCGUAAACGAUGAACACUAGGUGUUA